CGAGCAGUAGUUCAGUUGGCAGAACGCCGCGUUUGGGAUGCGGAGGUCGCACGUUCAAAUCGUGUCUGCUCGA
RNAcentral lists this transfer RNA (73 nucleotides) under Caudoviricetes sp. RNAcentral describes it as "tRNA-Pro". It matches the Rfam family "tRNA". Rfam says of the family: Transfer RNA (tRNA) molecules are approximately 80 nucleotides in length. Their secondary structure includes four short double-helical elements and three loops (D, anti-codon, and T loops). Lineage: Duplodnaviria; Heunggongvirae; Uroviricota; Caudoviricetes. The record is from RNAcentral.